ACCCAGAUCUCAAACUUUUUAGUAUCAAGAUUCCUUUACAAAUUCAUUGAGGACCCCAAAGAGCUUUUGGUUAUUUCAUGUACGGAGAAAACCCUGCCUCACACAGAUACAUGGUUGGAAAAGGAAGGACCUGGCUGGCCCUCUGCAAGAUCUCUGGGCUUACAGUGAUCCUCUCUCAGCCUACACAUUAGGAACCACUGACUAGAACAAAGUGGAAGUGAAAUAUUACUGUCCAUCUUGACACAAAUGAGGAAGUAGCCCCAGGACUACAAAACAGGAACUCCGGGGCCCAGAGAAGAGAGAGAAGAAAACUCACAAAUAGCCGUCAAUGAAAAGCAAUGUCCUCACCCACUGACUUUUCCUAAAUAUUAAUGCUGCCGCUGUCUGCUGGAGGAAGGAGACGGUGGAUAGAAAUGAAACAAAGAAAACCCAAAAACAUUGGGAAAUCCGAAGACCUCAAAGUUUUAUUUCUGUGAAAGCCUCUGGAUCACCGAUGAGCUAGCAGUCUGACAAAGUCAGGCCUCAGAAUUCCUUCCUUAGAUUGUCAAAGGACUAGGAACAGCAUGGCCUGAUGUGUCCACCAAGCAACAAUGUGGGAGCAAGAAAAAAACUGGAUUCUCUUCUGUGUAAUAAUGUGACUUCCUGAUUCUAUGGAAUACUACUGAUUGCAGGGAUGGACUCUGGAAGGCCAGCCAUGCAGGGCUUUUACUUAAGCACACCCAAAGGAUGCGCAUUUCAGACAUCUUAAUGGACCAGACCCUCACAAAAGAAUGAAAAGCAUUUGAAGACAGGAAGCACAGAAGCAUGGAAGAAUUUGAUUUAAUGAAAAUAUAGGCUCCUGGAAACUCUACUCUGCCUUUAAUUCUCAUACUUCAAAUAUUACAAAUGAGGGCUGAACCCCUAAUUCUAAUAAGAUUAGAGUCUGUCUCUGAUUGGAGAGUGCAUAUGGCUACAAAGCAAUUGAAGAUUUAUGGGAAGCCUGUCUGGUGUGCAGUGAACCUAGAAUAUAAUCUGACUUGCUCUUUUGUCACCUGUGAAUUUUCUUGGAAGUUUUGUAUAGGAAAACCCUGAUCACAGGUUUUUAAGUAUUUUUUUAACUAAGCAGACAUUCAUAAAUACAUUAUAAAGUUGUCAACUAGUCUAACAGCUUUCUGUUUGCCCUUUUCAAGGUGGUAGAAAUUGUGCAUAUUUUGUAUGUCUCCAAAUAAAGUAUACUUCAAAGGAAAA
This is a long non-coding RNA of Lynx canadensis (Canada lynx), 1227 nucleotides long. RefSeq lists it as uncharacterized. The record is from RefSeq and is a predicted model, not a curated record. NCBI's taxonomy places the organism in Eukaryota, Metazoa, Chordata, Mammalia, Carnivora, Felidae. The transcript is spliced from 6 exons.